GGGGCUGAAAUGCUGUAACUCCACGUUGAAACUCUCCAUCACUUCGCGAAGGAAAUGAUGCGGAGGCAUCCGAAGUCCGCAGGUGAAGAAAUCCCUGAAUACCACUGCAUAACCUUCCUCAGGCGCAGGUACCGUUUGACCCACAGGAGGAGCCUUCGCUCGACCUUCCUUGAAAAACCUAGCCUUGACCAUAUCAGGAAUAUCCUCCGCCGUCACAGUAGACUCCCCAAACUCAAAGGUAAUUGCAGCCAUCUCCUCAAACUCCUUCAAGCUGAUCAGAUCACCAACAGAAGCUUCGACGUCAGACAACGUCUCCUCCAGAUCUUGAGCAGCAGCUACCUCAAGCAUCCAAUCUUCAAACCUCCGCAACCAACCACC
RNAcentral lists this long non-coding RNA (378 nucleotides) under Sorghum bicolor (sorghum). Its description in RNAcentral is "long non-coding RNA (SBIC_LNC013467)". The record is from RNAcentral. Lineage: Eukaryota; Viridiplantae; Streptophyta; Magnoliopsida; Poales; Poaceae.